This 427-nucleotide ribosomal RNA is filed under the name uncultured bacterium. RNAcentral's name for it is "partial 16S ribosomal RNA". It matches the Rfam family "Bacterial small subunit ribosomal RNA", at positions 355 to 774 of the family's 1533-position model. The record is from RNAcentral.
UGGGGAAUAUUGCACAAUGGGCGCAAGCCUGAUGCAGCCAUGCCGCGUGUAUGAAGAAGGCCUUCGGGUUGUAAAGUACUUUCAGCGAGGAGGAAGGCGUUGUGGUUAAUAACCGCAGCGAUUGACGUUACUCGCAGAAGAAGCACCGGCUAACUCCGUGCCAGCAGCCGCGGUAAUACGGAGGGUGCAAGCGUUAAUCGGAAUUACUGGGCGUAAAGCGCGCGCAGGCGGUCUGUCAAGUCGGAUGUGAAAUCCCCGGGCUCACCCUGGGAACUGCAUCCGAAACUGGCAGGCUAGAGUCUUGUAGAGGGGGGUAGAAUUCCAGGUGUAGCGGUGAAAUGCGUAGAGAUCUGGAGGAAUACCGGUGGCGAAGGCGGCCCCCUGGACAAAGACUGACGCUCAGGUGCGAAAGCGUGGGGAGCAAACA